This 515-nucleotide ribosomal RNA is filed under the name bacterium symbiont of Megymenum gracilicorne. RNAcentral's name for it is "bacterial SSU rRNA". It matches the Rfam family "Bacterial small subunit ribosomal RNA", at positions 527 to 1041 of the family's 1533-position model. The record is from RNAcentral.
GGAGAGGGCUAGCGUUAUUCGGAAUUAUUGGUCGUAAAGGGCGCGUAGGCGGAUUAGUAAGUUAAAAGUGGAAUCCCAAGGCUCAACCUUGGAAUUGCUUUUAAAACUGCUAAUCUAGAGAUUGAAAGAGGAUAGAGGAAUUCCUAGUGUAGAGGUGAAAUUCGUAAAUAUUAGGAGGAACACCAGUGGCGAAGGCGUCUAUCUGGUUCAAAUCUGACGCUGAGGCGCGAAGGCGUGGGGAGCAAACAGGAUUAGAUACCCUGGUAGUCCACGCUGUAAACGAUGAAUGUUAAAUAUGGGGAGUUUACUUUCUGUAUUACAGCUAACGCGUUAAACAUUCCGCCUGGGGACUACGGUCGCAAGAUUAAAACUCAAAGGAAUUGACGGGGACCCGCACAAGCGGUGGAGCAUGUGGUUUAAUUCGAUGCAACGCGAAAAACCUUACCACUCCUUGACAUGGAAAUUAUACCUAUUCGAAGGGAUAGGGUCGGUUCGGCCGGGUUUCACACAGGUGU